This 1333-nucleotide ribosomal RNA is filed under the name Candidatus Phytoplasma solani. RNAcentral describes it as "bacterial SSU rRNA". It matches the Rfam family "Bacterial small subunit ribosomal RNA", at positions 12 to 1362 of the family's 1533-position model. Lineage: Bacteria; Bacillati; Mycoplasmatota; Mollicutes; Acholeplasmatales; Acholeplasmataceae. The record is from RNAcentral.
UUUGAUCCUGGCUCAGGAUUAACGCUGGCGGCAUGCCUAAUACAUGCAAGUCGAACGGAAGUUUAAGCAAUUAAACUUUAGUGGCGAACGGGUGAGUAACGCGUAAGCAAUCUGCCCCUAAGACGAGGAUAACAGUUGGAAACGACUGCUAAGACUGGAUAGGAGAUAAGAAGGCAUCUUUUUAUUUUUAAAAGACCUAGCAAUAGGUAUGCUUAGGGAAGAGCUUGCGUCACAUUAGUUAGUUGGUGGGGUAAUGGCCUACCAAGACGAUGAUGUGUAGCCGGGCUGAGAGGUCGAACGGCCACAUUGGGACUGAGACACGGCCCAAACUCCUACGGGAGGCAGCAGUAAGGAAUUUUCGGCAAUGGAGGAAACUCUGACCGAGCAAUGCCGCGUGAACGAUGAAGUAUUUCGGUACGUAAAGUUCUUUUAUUAGGGAAGAAAAGAUGGUGGAAAAACCAUUAUGACGGUACCUAAUGAAUAAGCCCCGGCUAACUAUGUGCCAGCAGCCGCGGUAAUACAUAGGGGGCAAGCGUUAUCCGGAAUUAUUGGGCGUAAAGGGUGCGUAGGCGGUUAAAUAAGUUUAUGGUCUAAGUGCAACGCUCAACGUUGUGAUGCUAUAAAAACUGUUUAGCUAGAGUUGGAUAGAGGCAAGUGGAAUUCCGUGUGUAGUGGUAAAAUGCGUAAAUAUACGGAGGAACACCAGAAGCGAAAGCGGCUUGCUGGGUCUUAACUGACGCUGAGGCACGAAAGCGUGGGGAGCAAACAGGAUUAGAUACCCUGGUAGUCCACGCCCUAAACGAUGAGUACUAAACGUUGGAUAAAACCAGUGUUGAAGUUAACACAUUAAGUACUCCGCCUGAGUAGUACGUACGCAAGUAUGAAACUUAAAGGAAUUGACGGGACUCCGCACAAGCGGGUGGAUCAUGUUGUUUAAUUCGAAAGUACCCGAAAACCUCACCAGGUCUUGACAUGCUUUUGCAAGCUGUAGAAAUACAGUGGAGGUUAUCAGAAGCACACGUGGUGCAUGGGUUGUCGUCAGCUCGUGUCGUGAGAUGUGGGGUUAAGUCCCGCCACGAGCGCAACCCUUGGUUUUUAAUUGCCAUCAAUAAGUUGGGGACUUUAGCAAGACUGCCAUUGAAUAAUUGGAGGAAGGGUGGUGAAGAAACUGUCAAUCAUAUGACCUGGGCUACAAACGUGAUACAAUGGCUGUUACAAAGGGUAGCUAAAGCGUAAGCUUCUGGCGAAUCUCAAAAAAACAGUCUCAGUUCGGAUUGAAGUCUGCAACUCGACUUCAUGAAGUUGGAAUCGCUAGUAAUCGCGAAUUUCACGG